GGGCAGCUAGCCAGCAAUGGGAUGCGAAUCUCGAAAGCCUGUCUCAGUUCGGAUUGGAGGCUGAAACCCGCCUCCAUGAAGUUGGAUUCGCUAGUAAUCGCGCAUCAGCCAUGGCGCGGUGAAUACGUUCCCGGGCCUUGUACACACCGCCCGUCAAGCCAUGGGAGCCGGGGGGUGCCUGAAGUUCGUGACCGCAAGGAGCGACCUAGGGCAAAACUGGUGACUGGGGCUAAGUCGUAACAAGGUAUC
RNAcentral lists this ribosomal RNA (249 nucleotides) under uncultured bacterium. Its description in RNAcentral is "partial 16S ribosomal RNA". It matches the Rfam family "Bacterial small subunit ribosomal RNA", at positions 1244 to 1500 of the family's 1533-position model. The record is from RNAcentral.